GGUUAACAGACCUCCAUAAUGUUAUUAUUGACUGUUGAAACAACAUCCAGAUACAUUCUUACAUCACAUUAAGUUGCCUUGCAUAUAGCCAUCAAUGGUGAGAAACUAAAAUGCAAGAUAUAAUACAACAGUGGAAAAUAGCCAACAUACAACGAAUAGAGAGAUAAUCUGGCUUGUCAUCCACUAACAUUUUCAGCAGACAUGUCGUUCUCUUCAUCACUUCCUUGACGUAUUCUUGCAAUUUCUGCCUGAGCUCUCUCCAUAAUUUGCCUCUUUUGGAGUUCCAAUUCUCGGUGGAAGUCCAUCCUCAUUUUCUCCAGUUCCAUCAUUUGCUGUCUCUUGCUAUUCUCAAUCUUCACAUAUAUCUCACUAAAUUUAUGGAUAGAAUCUGCUAUUAAUUUGAAAGAAUGUCCAUUCCCAUUCCCGUUCCCUCCUGGUUGUACAUUUCUUGAUCUUUUUGGUGGAAGAUCCUCUGAACCAUCCUCCUCACCAUCAGCAGAUUCUGAGUUAGCAGGACUGUCCCUCAUCUCAUCCAAGCCAUUAGCACGAUUCAGAUAAGCUUUUGGGCUCAUGAAAACAUACUCUCCAGAGUCCAUUCCACAUGAAACACCAGCUUUCUGGGGAGUUGAUGUUAGUAACAUGUCCAUCUUUUUGAAGUACACCCACUUGCUAGUGCUAUUUCCAGUCUCUGCAAACUUCAUCUUCUCCUUUUUGUAUUUCUUUUUCAAAGUAUCCAAACGGUUACGACAUUGGGUGUCUGUCCUCUCAAUUUUGGACCCCCGUGACACUCUGUCUGCAACUUCUUGCCAUUCCUCUGAUCGAAGACUCUUCCUCCCAUGUCGAACAAACCUAGUGCCCCAUGCAUCAAGCAAAAUAAAUGUCUCAUUUUCAGACCAAUCUGAAAGUGGAUUCCUACCACCAAAUGAAGGCUUAGGAGCAGUUGCAGCUGUAGUAGAUGGUGGUGGUACUCGAGGUGCAAACUCAUAACUUGAUAACAAGCUCUUUAACUUCCUCUUCUUUUGAUGCCUC
RNAcentral lists this unclassified non-coding RNA (1029 nucleotides) under Hevea brasiliensis (rubber tree). The record is from RNAcentral. Lineage: Eukaryota; Viridiplantae; Streptophyta; Magnoliopsida; Malpighiales; Euphorbiaceae.